GCCGUGGUGGAGGAGGUUACAGCGGCAGCGGUGGACAAUUUGGCUGGUUGGAUCUUAUUUGUGCGCUCGUAUUGUGUGUUUUAUGUAGAGCCAGUAGGACGUGGAGGGUCGCUCUUAGUCGUCAAGAGGUUCGUCUCUUUCUGAUGUGUUUGCAUACAAAUACAAAAGUUUACAGUUUGCCAACGUCGUUCGUUCUAGCAAUUUUCUAUCUACUAAAUCAUAAGCAUAUUAGUUGUUUGGCAUAGUACAUCAAAUGCAGAAUCUAAUUAAUGGACUAGAAAAAAUAUGAUCAGUUGUGCUAUGAAUGGUUUCUCUCUGUUUCCUAGAUGCAGAUCAUGGCUCUUAUUCUUUGCCGGUUUAAAUCGAUUGUAGUGACUUGUUUAGUUCUGAUCUACAGCCUUUUGAGAGAUACAUAUCUGGGUUUGUAUAUUUGUCCAUUUCAUAUGUCAAUGUAUUACCUUGUCAGACAACUUUAAGAUUUCUAAAAUUGCCAAAACGAUUGGAAGAUCAAACAUCGAGAAUUCACUUUCUACAAGUGGAACAAUUGCAUAUCAAUGCAUUGAUCUAUUGACAUGUGCCCAUAUUUCUAUUUAUUUGUCUUCAAGUUCUAGAUAUCUCUCUUAUUCUGAUUUCUGUAGACACAAUUUGCUGCAGAUUUCUGUUUUCAAAUUGUUCCGGUACCAUGUUCCAUUAGCACUAAUAUUUUAUUUUAAUUAAAAAGGAUCUAGCUUAGCAUGAGUGAAAAGAUAUUUAAGUUAGUUUAAAAUAAUCUGACUUAGCAUGAGUGAAAAUACAUGUGAGUCAUUUCUAUGACUUCUACUGUUGAAACAUGUGGUAUGUAGCAUGUCUAAAAUAACAAUAUGCAACUUUCAUGAAUUAUGCAAUUUUUAAGCAGCAUGACAUGUGAGGACUGGUUUUUCUGUUUCAAUGAAGGGGGCACCACGACAGGUGGUGGCGGGCGCGGGGGUGGACACGAAGGCAAUUGGGUUUGCCCUGACGUGAGGUUCGUUUCCAUUAUCGUGUUCAUGGAUUUUCUGUUGGACUAGAUUCAAGAUUUGCUGAAUCAUGUUAUUCUAUACUGGCAUGUGUGAGUUUUGGCGUGUAGACUCGACUCAAGUAAAACUGCUUCAAGAUGUUCUUUGCAGUGUUUGGGUGAUUGAAUCAUUAUGCUUUCGGAUUAUGAUUUGCAUGUAGCACGCAGACUGUUACUAUUCUGGAUUGACCAUUAUCAUUCACAUUCCUUUUUUUCCUUCAUCUUUUACGUCAUGUAGUUACACAAGAACAACUUGAUCAUGCUAAAGAAGCAACCAAAUCUGCAAUUUUGAUGAACUUGGAUCAAGGGUACAAUGUUCUUGCUCCUAAUCAAAUCCUAAUUGUAUGACCUGUUUCCCUAAAGUGUUCUUUACAGUACAUACUUUUCCUAUUUUGUAAUCCAUAGCAUCUAAAGAUAAAGACAAGUUUAAAAUAGGAGAUGUGACUAGGUUGAUUAUUAUUGAAACAAUGUUCACUCUCCACUAUUAUGGUGAA
RNAcentral lists this long non-coding RNA (1527 nucleotides) under Zea mays. RNAcentral's name for it is "long non-coding RNA (ZMAY_LNC004482)". The record is from RNAcentral. Lineage: Eukaryota; Viridiplantae; Streptophyta; Magnoliopsida; Poales; Poaceae.